Non-coding RNA from Rhodnius prolixus, 151 nucleotides. The record is from Rfam. Lineage: Eukaryota; Metazoa; Arthropoda; Insecta; Hemiptera; Reduviidae.
UGCCUUGCGCAGUGGCAAUAUCGCGUAACCAAUGAAGGUCUCUCCUGAGGUGCGUUUAGUGCUAGUUGAAAACUUUUACCAAACUUUUUGGUAAAGACUAGAGCACGAUCAAUUUAAAUAGUAUAGUAAUAAAUAUUGUCAUAUUGUUAAG